UCUCCGUAGGUGAACCUGCGGAGGGAUCAUUACAGAGUUCCCGCGCUCGGGGGUCGGUCUCCCACCCACUGUUAUCGUUACUGUCGUUUCUUUUGCGGGCCGCCGGGCCCCCGGCCGCCGGCGUCCAAUAGGCGGCGCGCGCCCGCCAGCGUCAUUCGAACCCUGAGUGUUAGUGUCGUCUAAGUACUAUAUAAUAGUUAAAACUUUCAACAACGGAUCUCUUGGUUCUG
Molecule: unclassified non-coding RNA, 230 nt
Filed under: plant metagenome
Description: partial contains small subunit ribosomal RNA, internal transcribed spacer 1, and 5.8S ribosomal RNA
Source: RNAcentral